RNAcentral lists this ribosomal RNA (202 nucleotides) under Licmophora paradoxa. RNAcentral describes it as "partial Bacterial large subunit ribosomal RNA". It matches the Rfam family "Bacterial large subunit ribosomal RNA", at positions 2082 to 2282 of the family's 2925-position model. The record is from RNAcentral. Lineage: Eukaryota; Bacillariophyta; Fragilariophyceae; Licmophorales; Licmophoraceae.
GGAAAGACCCCGUGAACCUUUACUGUAACCUAAUACUGGCUCUAGGUUCGUCAUGUGUAGCAUAGGUGGGAGACGUUGAUGUCGGAGGCGCCAGCCUUCGAAUAGUCACCGGUGAAAUACCACUCUUGGCGUAUUUGGAUUCUAACCCGUGACCGUAAUCCGGCACGGGGACAGUGUUAGGCGGGCAGUUUGACUGGGGCGG